This 775-nucleotide ribosomal RNA is filed under the name uncultured Neocallimastigales. RNAcentral's name for it is "partial large subunit ribosomal RNA". It matches the Rfam family "Eukaryotic large subunit ribosomal RNA", at positions 22 to 644 of the family's 3401-position model. Lineage: Eukaryota; Fungi; Neocallimastigomycota; Neocallimastigomycetes; Neocallimastigales. The record is from RNAcentral.
CAUAGCGACUAUCGUGGCAUAUCAAUAAGCGGAGGAAAAGAAACUAACAAGGAUUCCCUUAGUAACGGCGAGUGAAGCGGGAAGAGCUCAAAUUUGAAAUCUUCAAGGUUUUACCUUGACGAAUUGUAGUUUAAAGAAGUGUUUUCUGUUGAAGUUUUGGUAAAAGUUCUUUGGAAUAGGACAUCAUAGAGGGUGAGAAUCCCGUAUUUGACCAUUUCUUUCCAGCUGUGUGAUACACUUUCAAAGAGUCGGAUUGUUUGGGAAUGCAGUCCAAAAUGGGUGGUAAAUUUCAUCUAAAGCUAAAUACUGGCGAGAGACCGAUAGCGAACAAGUACCGUGAGGGAAAGAUGAAAAGAACUUUGAAAAGAGAGUUAAACAGUACGUGAAAUCGUCAAAAGGGAAGCGUUUGACACCAGUGUUGUUUUCUCGAAAAUCAAUUAAAAAUGGCGGGAUUUUGUGUUGUAUUGACUUUAUCAGCUUUCUGCACUUUUUUCCUGUCUUUUUUAAUGCACUUUUCGUUUAACAAGUCAACAUCAAUUUCUUUUGUUGUAAAAGGGUCAUUGGAAGGUGGCUUUCUUUUCGGAGAAAGUGUUUAUAGCCUUUGACUUCUGCAAUCGGAGAGAUUGAGGUCUGCAGCGUAGAUCCUUCGGGGUUAGAUACAUUUGUGCUAAGCUAUAGCCUUUCAUAGACAACCUGUUGACUAUGGUCAGUCAUGUAGCUUACUCGCUUAUGCUAUUUUACCUACGCUUAGGAUGUUGAAGAUAUGCGCGACACG